This is a long non-coding RNA of Triticum dicoccoides, 2785 nucleotides long. RefSeq lists it as uncharacterized. The record is from RefSeq and is a predicted model, not a curated record. NCBI's taxonomy places the organism in Eukaryota, Viridiplantae, Streptophyta, Magnoliopsida, Poales, Poaceae. The transcript has 5 exons.
CUUUCCACCCGCGCCGCACAAGGAUGGAUAAGGUGAGCGCUCUGAGCUACGGAGCAGUGGAAAAAAGGCUUCCUCUUAUCUAGCAAGCGAGGUCGAGGCUGGCCGCGAUUAUCUGGCGAGCGAGGUCGAGGCUGGCCGCGAUGCAGACGACGCCGGGCGCGGAGGCGGCUAUCUCCGGCCAGAUCCGGUCGAGGAGGCGCGGCAGGGGCUGGAUCCUGUGCCGGCGACGGCGUGGAUGCGAUCUACGAGGCGCAUGAGGAGGUCCAAUGGUGGGGCUUCAAUUCCAAGUUCAUCGCGCCGGCGUUCCUCGCCGGUACCGAGCGAGAUGGCUAGCUCCGGCGAAGUCUCUCCAUCGAUAUGGUGGCUCUGUACGGGCGUGGAGGCGGCUAUCUCCGGCCAAAUCCGGUCGAGGAGGCGCGACAGGGGCCGGAUCCUGUUCCGGCGACGGUGUGGAUGCGAUCUACGAGGCGCAUGAGGAGGUCCAAUGGUGGGGCUUCAAUUCCAAGUUCAUCGCGCCGACGUUCCUCGCCGGUACCGAGCGAGAUGGCUAGCUCCGGCGAAGUCUCUCCAUCAAUACGGUGGCUCUGUACCUGUGAGAGAGACAUAGGUGAGGGGAGAGGCAGGGAGGAGAGGGUCUGAGGAGCCACAGGGAAGUCUUGGUGGUGCCCGCCUCCUACAGCAGCACUGGUGAGUGCGGCCAAAGAGAGAGAGAUGAGAGAGAGCCAGGAGGAAGAAGGAAAGGAAGGAGACUUCAGGAAGGGGUGGCGGGAUCCUGCGGUGCUGGGUUCGAGCUCCGUUGGUGGUGCUACUGCUGCUGUUGGACAAUGGCCGAUGGGACUUGGUAAGAGAAAAACAUGGACUUGGUAAGUCCUUCUCCCUUCUUUGAUUAAUAUUGGGAUUCCGUUGCUAUUUGAUGGAGAGCAGCCACCAAAAAUUCCUCUCUUGAGCAACGCUCCCUCCCUCCCUCCCUCUCGAAUCUGAUUCAUCACAAGAAUAUCAACAGGCAACAUCCUACCUCCAGAAUGUUUGGGGCCCCUAGGUAUUUGACUGAAUAGCACGGGCUCGCGUGUGUAUGUCACCAUGACAGUACUGCACUUCAAGAUUUCAUAAGUUUAAUCUUUAGUUCUAACAUUAUCUUUUGUGCAGAUAAGGAUGGCAGUAGAAGAGCUUGACGACAAUGAAUGACAACCAUAUGGACAUUUUUUUAGUAGCCAAUGAAUAUAGGCCAGUGAGCCAUGGAUUUUGGUUUGCUCCUUUUCUCCUUUAUGUGAUGAGGCAAGGAACAUGCUAAAGGGGAUAUUGUCAAUGCUGCAUAAUUAUGUUGUAUGAUGUUUACAUAUUUUCGGACCUCAUCUCAGUACAAUUCUGUAUUUAUUUUGGGGCCUAAUGGUGUUUAGUUUCAUUAACUUUUUCUGUUCAUAUACACGAAUAGCAGGAUUUCAGGCCAGUAGACUGUUACACCAGCAGUUUCAUUUAACUUUUAUUCAUUAACAGUGAGAGAAAGAUAUCCUGACAAUUUGUCCGCUGGAAAAUCUUACGUACUAUUUGUUUCAUGUAGGUUCUAGAAUUGCUUGAGGUUGUACAGUUUAGAUGUCCAGACACUUCAAUGAAAUACUCUCAGUUGCUUUCAAAUCCGAGAGUUGGAUUGAAGGUGUGCAUUUGAACGUGUGAAAUUAUUAUUUUGAUUUUUGGUCUCUCAUCAGCUUGUUGAUUCUUAGCUUGAAGAGAUCCUAUAGAAUUCUGCAACAUCUGAAUUUGGUGGUGUAUAUUGUUUUUCGGAGAGAGGUGAUCGACAGAUUGAUCUGGAUGCGUUCCAUCAAAAUCUUAUCCAAGUUGCGUGGUCAGUCCUGUUCAUAUCGGGUUUUGAGAUUAUUAAGUUGCUUAUUUUGAAGUUCAGAUGUCACAAAAACUGCACACAAUUGAGCGAGUCUAAGAAAGAAGAGCUAAAAGAAUCGUUCCAUCACAUGCUGAAAUGGGCCCGGAGAUAUAACAAAAAUCUUGAUACAGGCAGCCCAGCUUGAAACUAGCUGGUCUGAAAUUCUUCAAAUGAGUUGUGUGUGUGCAUGACCACUUAAUCUUUUCAGUUGGAAAUUGGAUAUAGUAACCCGCUUGUUGUUAAUUUCAGCUAGCUGUAUCAAGAAGGAUGUCAUUGCUUGAGGAUCGUUCACAGUUAUUGUUUGAAGUCGACGACAAGUGCUAUCAUCAUGAGGCCAGACAAGUCGUUGUGCCAAUCCAAUGACUUUCCAUUUCCAACAAUGGAAAGUCAUCCGAAGAAUCAUGUCUCGGUGAGUAGUCCAGCUCCAGCAACAAGACCACAUCUGGUUUCCACCAAGAAGCUGGACCAGCGGCAUUGUACUCAGUAGUUAAGGGCGUAUUUCUGAGGGGAGCAUACGUAUUACCGUGAUUCCCUUGAGUUUCGUGUGCUGCAUUACCGUUAUAAGUUACCAGCAGCAAAGAAAGAGAGUCACGUACUAAUACAUGAUAAGGACAAGUGCACUGAGGAAUAAGUAUGCAGAGAAGCUUUGAUUCAUCACCAUCUACAUAUACUUAGAAUAUAACUCACAAGCUUCCUUGAGCAUGUCUGGGCCGAAGAUACGACUGUCUCCUGUUUCUGACCAAUUUAAUGGGGUACGACAUCUUCGCCCGUACAAGGCUUGAAAAGGUGCCAUCUGUAGACUGGCUUGGUAACUGUUGUUGUACACGAACUCGGCAUACGGCAAGCUUUCUUCCCAGCUGGUUCCAUAGGUGAGAACACAUGCUCUUAGCAUGUCCUCUAGAAUUUGGU